AACGAACGCUGGCGGCAGGCCUAACACAUGCAAGUCGAACGCUGUAGCAAUACAGAGUGGCAGACGGGUGAGUAACACGUGGGAACGUACCUUUCGGUUCGGAAUAACUCAGGGAAACUUGAGCUAAUACCGGAUACGUGCGAGAGCAGAAAGAUUUAUCGCCGAAAGAUCGGCCCGCGUCCGAUUAGCUUGUUGGUGAGGUAAAGGCUCACCAAGGCGACGAUCGGUAGCUGGUCUGAGAGGAUGAUCAGCCACACUGGGACUGAGACACGGCCCAGACUCCUACGGGAGGCAGCAGUGGGGAAUAUUGGACAAUGGGCGAAAGCCUGAUCCAGCCAUGCCGCGUGAGUGAUGAAGGCCCUAGGGUUGUAAAGCUCUCUCGCCAGGGACGAUAAUGACGGUACCUGGAUAAGAAGCCCCGGCUAACUUCGUGCCAGCAGCCGCGGUAAU
RNAcentral lists this ribosomal RNA (450 nucleotides) under uncultured bacterium. Its description in RNAcentral is "bacterial SSU rRNA". It matches the Rfam family "Bacterial small subunit ribosomal RNA", at positions 29 to 524 of the family's 1533-position model. The record is from RNAcentral.